Long non-coding RNA from Arabidopsis thaliana (thale cress), 241 nucleotides. RefSeq annotates it as other RNA. The record is from RefSeq. NCBI's taxonomy places the organism in Eukaryota, Viridiplantae, Streptophyta, Magnoliopsida, Brassicales, Brassicaceae. The transcript has a single exon.
GGGACGUCAGGGUUGAUGAAAAGCUCAAUUGGUUUUUGGCUUUAUCGAAACAUACACAUUUGUUUGGAGAACUCGAAAUACAUUCCCUCUGUCACAUCUUGAAGAGCUGGUUCCUCAGGAUUGCAACGACAGUAUCGAGAGCCUCUUUAUUUUCCACCAGAUACUUCUCAGCUGCGUCUUUCCCUUCAAUGACCUCGCCUUCAAUGAAAUAGCUAGUUCCUUCUCUUAAGAUAACUCCAUG